GUGUCAGCAGCCGCGGUAAUACAGAGGUGGCAAGCGUUGUUCGGAAUUACUGGGCGUAAAGGGCGAGUAGGUGGCCAUCUAAGUCAGACGUGAAAUCCCCCGGCUUAACCUGGGAACUGCGUCUGAUACUGGACGGCUAGAGUAUGGGAGAGGGAUGUAGAAUUCCAGGUGUAGCGGUGAAAUGCGUAGAUAUCUGGAGGAAUACCGGUGGCGAAGGCGGCAUCCUGGACCAUUACUGACACUGAACCGCGAAAGCUAGGGGAGCAAACGGGAUUAGAUACCCCCGUAGUCC
This 292-nucleotide ribosomal RNA is filed under the name uncultured bacterium. Its description in RNAcentral is "partial 16S ribosomal RNA". It matches the Rfam family "Bacterial small subunit ribosomal RNA", at positions 505 to 796 of the family's 1533-position model. The record is from RNAcentral.